Molecule: unclassified non-coding RNA, 293 nt
Filed under: Hevea brasiliensis (rubber tree)
Lineage: Eukaryota; Viridiplantae; Streptophyta; Magnoliopsida; Malpighiales; Euphorbiaceae
Source: RNAcentral
UCAUGACUUUCUUCCCCCUUAUUCACACAGAACAGUUGGAGACCCAUUAAUACUAUCUAGCAAAAGAAGCCACCUAGCAUCAUCAUUAAUGACGUUGCGUUCCACCAUGGGCUGUGGUGCUACUAGCGAUAACACACGGCAUUUCACAGCCACCCCAUACACUUUUAUUACUAUUCUAACCGACAACCUUUUUCUUAAGAAGGUUAGCUUUUUAUAUAUUUAAUAUGGCCACCUUUUGGCCAAUGGACACAACCUUUUGUAUGGAUUUAUGUAUGGAUACAACUCUAUGUAUG